Molecule: transfer RNA, 77 nt
Filed under: Campylobacterota bacterium
Lineage: Bacteria; Pseudomonadati; Campylobacterota
Description: tRNA-Pro
Rfam family: tRNA
About the family: Transfer RNA (tRNA) molecules are approximately 80 nucleotides in length.
Source: RNAcentral
CGGGAAGUGGCGCAGUCUGGUAGCGCACUUGGUUUGGGACCAAGGGGCCGCAGGUUCGAAUCCUGUCUUCCCGACCA